This is an RNA transcript of Capsicum annuum, 993 nucleotides long. RefSeq lists it as uncharacterized. The transcript has 6 exons. NCBI's taxonomy places the organism in Eukaryota, Viridiplantae, Streptophyta, Magnoliopsida, Solanales, Solanaceae. The record is from RefSeq and is a predicted model, not a curated record.
AGUGUUAACACAAUAUUACUGUAGUUGGACUCAUCUGCCAAUUCCCUCCAUUUCCCCUCUUUACUUUCUUCCCUAAAAUUCAAAAAACCCUUCACUCUCCAUUUACCUAACAAAUUCCUUCCCUAAGCAAGAUUGAAAUGGGUCAUCGUAAUCUGAGUAGUUAUCACCAUUUAGAGAAGGAACAACACCAAUCAGUAGAUGGGUUAUUAACCCUUUUCAAGAAAGCUAACCAUGACCUUACCACUGUUCACAACAAGCUCGAAAAGGAAUUUCAACAAGUAUACCCUGAUAAUGCGAACCCCAUGAAGUUAGUUUCGAGGAUAAAGAAAGUUCAGGAUGAAAUGUGUAGCUUGAAGGAACAGUGCCGUGAGUUACUUGCAGCUAAACAGGAUUUAAUUGAUAAAGCUCGGGCAACCGUAGUUGGGAACAGGUUGUUGCUGCAAAAGUUGCUAUUAUCCGCAGGUGUUCCUGUUACCAGUGAUUCUGAUGAUCCAUCAUAUGCUAGUUUCAACCAGGUCAUUGAUGAGUGGACAACUCAAGUCAGAUCAAGAACAGGAUUUUACUCCUGCACUGCCUUGUCAACUUUGGGCUAGCUGUUUCGGUGCCUGGGAGCAUUUUGGGCAUCUAAGCUGAAUUGCUUAAAUUAAGAAAUGGGUGCAAUAUGCGACUUACUAUAACCAUAGACUUAGUAACGAACAAUACAAAUUAGUGACAAUCAAAAGUUAGCUGUUGCUACAUUAUGUCCAGAGGAUGAGAGCCCUGAAUCAGGGGAAGAUAUCAACCAGAUGUUGUUUUCUGCAAUUGUGCAUGACAACUAAGAAGUCAUUCAACCUCUGAAUUGGAAAGAUGCCUGAUGUAAGAUAUCUAGUAUAUGAGCUUGUGGAACAUAGAGUUUGUAUCAUUUUAUAUUCCAAAAUGAAGAUUUUGCAAUGGUUUCUUGGAGAAUUCUUGUAUCAUUUUGUUCUUUUAAGUUUCAUAGUUGUUCUUUCUUGC